Molecule: ribosomal RNA, 303 nt
Filed under: Triticum aestivum (bread wheat)
Lineage: Eukaryota; Viridiplantae; Streptophyta; Magnoliopsida; Poales; Poaceae
Description: partial small subunit ribosomal RNA
Source: RNAcentral
AUGAAUUUCUUCCAUGAUGAAGAAACUCCAUACCUACCGAGGGAAAAAAUUCAGGAAGUCUUGGGAUAUUUUGAUGAACAAUGCAUGUCGAAUGACAGUUGGUCUGAACCAAGAGAUUGUUAUUAUAUACCAGCUUUCUACUCUAUACCGUAUGGUUUGUUCGGAGAUGAGUACUUUGAUAACAAAAAGGAUGCAUAUUCUCCGUCUCCGUUGUUUUUUAUUGUUCACGAGGGUGCAUAUGAGCUCGGGUGCAGAAACUUCAUGUUCGUAUGUGUCAGCAUUAUGGGCUAUGGCUAUACAUGA